Molecule: ribosomal RNA, 249 nt
Filed under: uncultured bacterium
Lineage: Bacteria
Description: partial 16S ribosomal RNA
Rfam family: Bacterial small subunit ribosomal RNA
Source: RNAcentral
UGUGCCCUACGGGAGGCAGCAGUGGGGGAUAUUGCACAAUGGGGGAAACCCUGAUGCAGCGACGCUGCGUGGGUGAAGAAGCGCCUCGGCGCGUAAAGCCCUGUCAGCAGGGAAGAAAAUGACGGUACCUGAAGAAGAAGCCCCGGCUAACUACGUGCCAGCAGCCGCGGUAAUACGUAGGUGGCAAGCGUUGUCCGGAUUUACUGGGUGUAAAGGGCGUGCAGCCGGGAAGACAAGUCAGAUGUGAAA